CGCUCAGAUGCGAAAGCGUGGGUAGCAAACAGGAUUAGAUACCCUGGUAGUCCACGCCGUAAACGCUGUCUGCUUGGAGGUUGAGGUUUAAGACUUUGGCUUUCGGCGCUAACGCAUUAAGUAGACCGCCUGGGGAGUACGGCCGCAAGGUUAAAACUCAAAUGAAUUGACGGGGGCCCGCACAAGCGGUGGAGCAUGUGGUUUAAUUCGAUGCAACGCGAAGAACCUUACCUACUCUUGACAUCCAGAGAACUUUCCAGAGAUGGAUUGGUGCCUUCGGGAACUCUGAGACAGGUGCUGCAUGGCUGUCGUCAGCUCGUGUUGUGAAAUGUUGGGUUAAGUCCCGCAACGAGCGCAACCCUUAUCCUUGUUUGCCAGCACGUAAUGGUGGGAACUCCAGGGAGACUGCCGGUGAUAAACCGGAGGAAGGUGGGGACGACGUCAAGUCAUCAUGGCCCUUACGAGUAGGGCUACACACGUGCUACAAUGGCAGAUACAGAGGGCAGCGAAGCUGCGAAGUGGAGCGAAUCCCUUAAAGUCUGUCGUAGUCCGGAUUGGAGUCUGCAACUCGACUCCAUGAAGUCGGAAUCGCUAG
Molecule: ribosomal RNA, 595 nt
Filed under: uncultured Salinivibrio sp.
Lineage: Bacteria; Pseudomonadati; Pseudomonadota; Gammaproteobacteria; Vibrionales; Vibrionaceae
Description: bacterial SSU rRNA
Rfam family: Bacterial small subunit ribosomal RNA
Source: RNAcentral